This is a non-coding RNA of Salmo salar (Atlantic salmon), 64 nucleotides long. The record is from Rfam. Lineage: Eukaryota; Metazoa; Chordata; Actinopteri; Salmoniformes; Salmonidae.
UUCUGGCUCAGUUGGUAGAGCAUGGCACUUGCAAUGUCAGGGUUAUGGGUUCAAUUCCUACGGA